AUUUAAGUUUCAUUUUCUAUUGCUAUCUCUUUUGCUUAUCAAUUUUUCAGAAUCAAGAUUUGCAAGACCAAUUUCAUUACAACAACAUAAUACUAUUAAGUUAUCUUCAUAUUUGAAGAUGUUUGAGACACUUGGAAUGGUUUGCAAGUGUUGUGAUGGUGAUAAUAUUGGACAAGAUUUGUGUAGUGCUACUUGGGAUGGUUCUUGUUCUAAUCUUAAGUGUGUUCCAUGGAAAUCUCAAUGAUUUUUUUUUUCAAUUUUGGUUUGUUUUUG
Molecule: unclassified non-coding RNA, 273 nt
Filed under: Hevea brasiliensis (rubber tree)
Lineage: Eukaryota; Viridiplantae; Streptophyta; Magnoliopsida; Malpighiales; Euphorbiaceae
Source: RNAcentral